CGGGAGGGAGGCGGAGCUGGCCCGAGGAGCCCCGACUGCAAGUUCCACGGCCUGAUUGGGACUCGGUUCCCAGGAGGCGGCGGCGCAGCUCCCAGGUUAGCUAUAUAUGUAAACUGCAGCUUUUCUACCAAGCCUCCGUGACAGCAUCUCAUGCUAUUUUCAGCCUUGAGGAUGGACACAUGGUUGUUUGCAUGAAACACGAUUGCUGCUGCCGAGGAAUCCUGUCGCGUAGCGCCCGCCUGUGUCUUCAGUCCUUGUGGUGGCAGCCACAUUGUUCCACUUGCGAUAAGACGGGGGCCUCUCAGACUGUGCUCCUACCUCCUAGUGAGAAUUACCAGCAGGUCUGCAUGGAUUCCUAAGUAAUGUGAGCCUGCUUUCCCACAAAUGUCUUUCAUAAUAAAUGAU
Molecule: long non-coding RNA, 405 nt
Organism: Diceros bicornis minor
Lineage: Eukaryota; Metazoa; Chordata; Mammalia; Perissodactyla; Rhinocerotidae
Exons: 3
Source: RefSeq, a predicted model, not a curated record